RNAcentral lists this ribosomal RNA (327 nucleotides) under uncultured eukaryote. RNAcentral's name for it is "partial 18S ribosomal RNA". It matches the Rfam family "Eukaryotic small subunit ribosomal RNA", at positions 1470 to 1796 of the family's 1831-position model. The record is from RNAcentral.
CCCUUAGAUGUUCUGGGCCGCACGCGCGCUACACUGACGAAUGCAACGAGCUUAUAACCUUGGCCGAAAGGUCUGGGUAAUCUCCAAAUUUCGUCGUGAUGGGGAUAGAUUAUUGCAAUUAUUAAUCUUCAACGAGGAAUGCCUAGUAAGCGCAAGUCAUCAGCUUGCGUUGAUUACGUCCCUGACCUUUGUACACACCGCCCGUCGCUCCUACCGAUUGAAUGGUCCGGUGAAGCGUUCGGACCGUGGCCUUUGGACGGUUCGCCGUCUGUUGGCUGCGGGAAGUUCGUUAAACCUUAUCAUUUAGAGGAAGGAGAANUCGUAACA